GCCGGCGCAGCGCAGCGGAAGAGUACGUUCUUGAGGUGCGAGACCGCGCGUUCGCUUCUGCGCCGCUGGCACCA
RNAcentral lists this transfer RNA (74 nucleotides) under Bradyrhizobium arachidis. RNAcentral describes it as "tRNA-OTHER". Lineage: Bacteria; Pseudomonadati; Pseudomonadota; Alphaproteobacteria; Hyphomicrobiales; Nitrobacteraceae. RNAcentral also lists the same sequence under 1 other name. The record is from RNAcentral.